This 392-nucleotide ribosomal RNA is filed under the name uncultured bacterium. RNAcentral's name for it is "partial 16S ribosomal RNA". It matches the Rfam family "Bacterial small subunit ribosomal RNA", at positions 523 to 918 of the family's 1533-position model. The record is from RNAcentral.
AUACGGAGGAUCCGAGCGUUAUCCGGAUUUAUUGGGUUUAAAGGGUGCGCAGGCGGCCAUUUAAGUCAGCGGUUAAAUCGUGGGGCUCAACCCCAUUCUGCCGUUGAUACUGGGUGGCUUGAUUGCGGUCGAGGUUGGCGGAAUUCGUUGUGUAGCGGUGAAAUGCAUAGAUAUGACGAAGAACACCGAUUGCGCAGGCAGCUGACCAGACCGCAAAUGACGCUCAUGCACGAAAGUGCGGGGAUCGAACAGGAUUAGAUACCCUGGUAGUCCGCACAGUAAACGAUGAAUACUUGUUUUCGGCGAUAUAAUGUCGGAGGCAAAGCGAAAGCGAUAAGUAUUCCACCUGGGGAGUACGCCGGCAACGGUGAAACUCAAAGGAAUUGACGGGG